This 497-nucleotide ribosomal RNA is filed under the name uncultured bacterium. RNAcentral's name for it is "partial 16S ribosomal RNA". It matches the Rfam family "Bacterial small subunit ribosomal RNA", at positions 28 to 507 of the family's 1533-position model. The record is from RNAcentral.
GAUGAACGCUGGCGGCGUGCCUAAUACAUGCAAGUCGAGCGAACACACGAGGAGCUUGCUCCCCUGCCGUUAGCGGCGGACGGGUGAGUAACACGUGGAUCACCUACUUCUAAUACUGGGAUAACUUCGUAAAACAAGAUCUACUACUAGCUCAUAUAUUGAACCGCAUAGUUCAAUAGUGCUUGACGCUUUUCCCGUCUCUUUUAGCUGGUUCCGCGCUGGAUUAGCUAGUUGGUAAGGUAACGGCUCACCAAGGCAACGAAGCGUAGCCGAGCUGAGAGGGUGAUCGGCCACACUGGAACUGAGACACGGUCCAGACUCCUACGGGAGGCAGCAGUAGGGAAUCUUCGGCAAUGGGCGAAAGCUUGACGGAGCAAUGCCGCGUGAGUGAAGAAGGCCUUCGGAUUGUAAAACUCUGUUAUUAGGAAAGAAAAAAUGUAUAAGAAACUAUGCACGUUUUGACGGUACCUAAUGAGAAAGCCACGGCUAACUACGUG